Molecule: ribosomal RNA, 1406 nt
Filed under: Mammaliicoccus sciuri
Lineage: Bacteria; Bacillati; Bacillota; Bacilli; Caryophanales; Staphylococcaceae
Description: bacterial SSU rRNA
Rfam family: Bacterial small subunit ribosomal RNA
Source: RNAcentral
GCGAACAGAUGAGAAGCUUGCUUCUCUGAUGUUAGCGGCGGACGGGUGAGUAACACGUGGGUAACCUACCUAUAAGACUGGGAUAACUCCGGGAAACCGGGGCUAAUACCGGAUAAUAUUUUGAACCGCAUGGUUCAAUAGUGAAAGACGGUUUCGGCUGUCACUUAUAGAUGGACCCGCGCCGUAUUAGCUAGUUGGUAAGGUAACGGCUUACCAAGGCGACGAUACGUAGCCGACCUGAGAGGGUGAUCGGCCACACUGGAACUGAGACACGGUCCAGACUCCUACGGGAGGCAGCAGUAGGGAAUCUUCCGCAAUGGGCGAAAGCCUGACGGAGCAACGCCGCGUGAGUGAUGAAGGUCUUCGGAUCGUAAAACUCUGUUGUUAGGGAAGAACAAAUUUGUUAGUAACUGAACAAGUCUUGACGGUACCUAACCAGAAAGCCACGGCUAACUACGUGCCAGCAGCCGCGGUAAUACGUAGGUGGCAAGCGUUAUCCGGAAUUAUUGGGCGUAAAGCGCGCGUAGGCGGUUUCUUAAGUCUGAUGUGAAAGCCCACGGCUCAACCGUGGAGGGUCAUUGGAAACUGGGAAACUUGAGUGCAGAAGAGGAGAGUGGAAUUCCAUGUGUAGCGGUGAAAUGCGCAGAGAUAUGGAGGAACACCAGUGGCGAAGGCGGCUCUCUGGUCUGUAACUGACGCUGAUGUGCGAAAGCGUGGGGAUCAAACAGGAUUAGAUACCCUGGUAGUCCACGCCGUAAACGAUGAGUGCUAAGUGUUAGGGGGUUUCCGCCCCUUAGUGCUGCAGCUAACGCAUUAAGCACUCCGCCUGGGGAGUACGACCGCAAGGUUGAAACUCAAAGGAAUUGACGGGGACCCGCACAAGCGGUGGAGCAUGUGGUUUAAUUCGAAGCAACGCGAAGAACCUUACCAAAUCUUGACAUCCUUUGACCGCUCUAGAGAUAGAGUCUUCCCCUUCGGGGGACAAAGUGACAGGUGGUGCAUGGUUGUCGUCAGCUCGUGUCGUGAGAUGUUGGGUUAAGUCCCGCAACGAGCGCAACCCUUAAGCUUAGUUGCCAUCAUUAAGUUGGGCACUCUAGGUUGACUGCCGGUGACAAACCGGAGGAAGGUGGGGAUGACGUCAAAUCAUCAUGCCCCUUAUGAUUUGGGCUACACACGUGCUACAAUGGAUAAUACAAAGGGCAGCGAAUCCGCGAGGCCAAGCAAAUCCCAUAAAAUUAUUCUCAGUUCGGAUUGUAGUCUGCAACUCGACUACAUGAAGCUGGAAUCGCUAGUAAUCGUAGAUCAGCAUGCUACGGUGAAUACGUUCCCGGGUCUUGUACACACCGCCCGUCACACCACGAGAGUUUGUAACACCCGAAGCCGGUGGAGUAACCUUUUAGGAGCUA